UACAGAGGGUGCAAGCGUUAUUCGGAAUUAUUGGGCGUAAAGCGCACGUAGGCGGCUUUGCAAGUCGGAUGUGAAAUCCCUCGGCUUAACCGAGGAAGUGCAUCCGAAACUGCAGAGCUUGAGUACUUAAGAGGAUCGCGGAAUUCCCGGUGUAGAGGUGAAAUUCGUAGAUAUCGGGAGGAACACCAGUGGCGAAGGCGGCGAUCUGGGAAGAUACUGACGCUGAGGUGCGAAAGCGUGGGGAGCAAACAGG
This 253-nucleotide ribosomal RNA is filed under the name uncultured bacterium. RNAcentral's name for it is "partial 16S ribosomal RNA". It matches the Rfam family "Bacterial small subunit ribosomal RNA", at positions 524 to 776 of the family's 1533-position model. The record is from RNAcentral.